This 440-nucleotide ribosomal RNA is filed under the name uncultured bacterium. RNAcentral's name for it is "bacterial SSU rRNA". It matches the Rfam family "Bacterial small subunit ribosomal RNA", at positions 339 to 796 of the family's 1533-position model. The record is from RNAcentral.
CUACGGGAGGCAGCAGUAGGGAAUUUUCCACAAUGGGCGAAAGCCUGAUGGAGCAACGCCGCGUGCAGGAUUAAGGCCUUCGGGUCGUAAACUGCUUUUAUAUAUGAAGAUUUUGACGGUAAUAUAUGAAUAAGGAUCGGCUAACUCCGUGCCAGCAGCCGCGGUAAUACGUAGGUGGCGAACGUUAUCCGGAAUCACUGGGCGUAAAGGGUCCGCAGGUGGCAUGUCAAGUCGAUUGUGAAAGCUCCCGGCUCAACUGGGAGAGGACGGUCGAAACUGGCAAACUAGAGUCCGACAGAGGUCGGCGGAAUUCCCGGUGUAGUGGUGGAAUGCGUAGAUAUCGGGAGGAACGCCAAAAGCGAAAGCAGCCGGCUGGGUCGAGACUGACACUGAGGGACGAAAGCGUGGGUAGCGAACAGGAUUAGAUACCCCAGUAGUCC